RNAcentral lists this long non-coding RNA (1056 nucleotides) under Felis catus (domestic cat). RNAcentral's name for it is "lncRNA (ENSFCAG00000052374.1)". The record is from RNAcentral. Lineage: Eukaryota; Metazoa; Chordata; Mammalia; Carnivora; Felidae.
UGGACAAGCCACUGGUGCAGCCCAUCCCCGAGCGCCUCGUCCCUCUCCCGCCCACGCGCUUCCCGCCUACCAGGGACGAGGACGCCAGGGACCCGAGUCUCGGGCAGCGUCGCAGGCGGCGCUGGGGCUGCGGUGAGGCUGGAGCGCUGGGUUGGGGGGGGGGGAGGUGGGAAUAGCCGGCGUCGCGCCCCCUCCCACUUGGCGCCCCUCGCCAGAGCGGCCCUUGUGCCGCGGGACGGAAACUGCGGGCCCCCAGCCUCGGAAAGGGCGCGUGCCGGAGCCGCGUUCUCACCGCUCGGGGAGAGUCCGGGGAAACCCUGGUGCGGACACGCCGCGCGGGUUCCCGAAGUUGCGGCGUCCGCGAGUGCCGAGGCGGGGUCACCCGCAAUAGCCCCCGACUCCAUCUCCGCCCGCCGGGUGCCCGCGCCCUUCCUCCCGGCACCCGCUAGGCGCGCAGCCAGGCCGGGGCUCAGCCCGGGAUCCCGCUGCGGCACCCCGUGGUCGGCGUCCCCGCCCCCACCCCCCCGAGAGCAACGCGGCGCCCAAGUUUUCCCUAGCGGGAAAGUCAAAGUCUCGAGGAGGAGAGGGUCCGGCCGUCCCGGCCACUCCGGGGCUGGGAUCGGAGCCCUGCACCCCGGCCCCGGCCGUUCCUCGCUGGCCUGCGCGGCCAAGUCGACUUACGAAAGGGAGCAGGGGAGCCCCGGACGCGGGGUCCCCGCGGCUGCAGAGGCCGUCCGGGAGGGGGCCGCGAGCUGCGCUCCGGGCUCCCAGCCCCUCUGCGGCGGCGGCGGCGGCUCGCUCCCGCCUCCUCCCCUUUCGCCAACUCGGCGGCGCGCCCUGCUAGGGAGUUGCUUUCCCUCGGCCGGGGGUGGGAGAGCGCCGAGCGGCCCCCGUGACGUGGAGGAGAAAGGAGGAGCGCCGUCGCCGCGCUCCCGCAGCGGGAGCUCCCCGCCCCUGCACUCCGGGGUCCCCUCUCCAAGCUUGGGACAAAGUUGCGAGGCGCGCGCGGCGCGCUCCGCUCCGGCCGAGCCGCGCGGCUCUGCGCCGCUGCCCUGA